Molecule: small nucleolar RNA, 106 nt
Organism: Dendrobium catenatum
Lineage: Eukaryota; Viridiplantae; Streptophyta; Magnoliopsida; Asparagales; Orchidaceae
Source: RefSeq, a predicted model, not a curated record
AAGACAUGGUGAGGAUAUUUUCUAAGGAUCCCCUUUAAUCUAUCCCAUCUCUCAUAAUAUAUUUUCCUUCUAAUCGAGUAAAAGAAGUAAUAACAUUUCUUAGUUU